This 936-nucleotide ribosomal RNA is filed under the name Paraspadella gotoi. Its description in RNAcentral is "large subunit ribosomal RNA". Lineage: Eukaryota; Metazoa; Chaetognatha; Sagittoidea; Phragmophora; Spadellidae. The record is from RNAcentral.
UUGUUAAAUGAGAUUGUAAAUCUAUAAAUAUUAUUUACACUAAUAAAAUAAAAAUAUAUUUACCAAAAAUUCUUUUUGUAUAAUGAGUAAAAGACCGAAUUUUAGUGAGUAAGCAGAAUAUUUAAAAAUUCUCAACAAAAAAGCAUUUAAACAAUAUAACGAACUAAAAAAACUGAAAUUUCUCAAAUUAUAAAAAUAAUAAUAUAAAAAAUUGUAUAUUGAUAAGUACAAACAUUUAUAAAAUAUUUCCAAAUAAUAAUUUCAUUUAAAUCAAUAAUUAUGUAGAGAAAUUAAAAAUUUUUACAAAAAAAAUUUUUUUUAAAUAUCUAAAAAAUUUCCCGAAUGUUUAUCAAAAACAUUUCCUACCUAUGUAGGUAUACCCUGCCCAAUGACAUAAAUGGACAUUAGUUAAAGUAGCAAAAUUAAUAGUCACUUAAUUAGUGGAUCGUUUGAAUGGGAUCUCGAGGAAAAAACUUAUUUAAAAAAAUUCAAAAAAUAAUUUUGGUGAAAAUUCCAAAAAAAAAGAAAAAGACAAAAAGACCCUAAAAACUGGCAGUGCAUAGUUGGGGCAACUAAACUAAAAACCAGUUUUAAAAACCUCUUUUAAAGAAGUUACUUUAGGGAUAACAGCGUAAUAUCAAAAAAGAAGAUCAAAUUUUUUUUUGAGAGUACGACCUCGAUGUUGAACUAGAACAAAUAUAUUGCAGAAGAUAUACACUAUAGACUGUUCGUCUAUAUGUUCUACGUGAUUUGAGUUCAAACCGGCGAAAGCCAGGUUGGUUUAAAUCUUUUAUUAUUCUUUAGAAAUAAAGUACGAAAGGAAAUAAAUCUAUUUACACAAUUAAAUUCUUUGUCAUAGAAUCAAAAAUUGAGUUUAAGUCUCAAAAAUCUUUUUUAACUUCUAAUUACCAUAAUUAAUUUUCUUGUAAAAAAUAU